Molecule: RNase P RNA, 426 nt
Filed under: uncultured Rubripirellula sp.
Lineage: Bacteria; Pseudomonadati; Planctomycetota; Planctomycetia; Pirellulales; Pirellulaceae
Description: Bacterial RNase P class A
Rfam family: Bacterial RNase P class A
About the family: Ribonuclease P (RNase P) is a ubiquitous endoribonuclease, found in archaea, bacteria and eukarya as well as chloroplasts and mitochondria. Its best characterised activity is the generation of mature 5'-ends of tRNAs by cleaving the 5'-leader elements of precursor-tRNAs. Cellular RNase Ps are ribonucleoproteins.
Source: RNAcentral
GAGUGGGCGGGACGGUCGCUGGUCAUCUUUUUGGUGACUGGAGGAAAGUCCGGGCUCCGAAGGACAGGGUGGUCGAUAACGUCGACCAGCCGCGAGGUUAGGGAAAGUGCAGCAGAGAGUAGACCGCCGAACGGUUCGGUUGAGUGCUUCGGCACCCAGCCAGAUGCGUGGUAAGGCUGAAACGGUGCGGUAAGAGCGCACCAGCGGUCGGGGUGACUCGAUCGGCUUGGUAAACCCCACCCGGAGCUAGAUCAAACAGAAUGAAGGCGGCAGAUUCAGUUCUGGCGUCACGAGGCGGUCCGUCUCGUUGGACAUUCGGGUAGAUCGCAAUGGAGGCGGCGAGCAAUCGUCGUGCACAGAUAAAUGACCGUCGACGGGAUUGCAGCUGUGAUCCCGGACACAGAACCCGGCUUACAAGCCCACUCA